GCCUUUAUAGCUUAAUUAGUAGAGCAUUUAUCGUGUGGGUUUAAUUCCUACUAAAGGCA
This 59-nucleotide transfer RNA is filed under the name Pseudocorticium jarrei. Its description in RNAcentral is "tRNA-Ala". It matches the Rfam family "tRNA". From Rfam's summary of the family: Transfer RNA (tRNA) molecules are approximately 80 nucleotides in length. The record is from RNAcentral. Lineage: Eukaryota; Metazoa; Porifera; Homoscleromorpha; Homosclerophorida; Oscarellidae.